Molecule: non-coding RNA, 82 nt
Organism: Russula aff. rugulosa BPL654
Lineage: Eukaryota; Fungi; Basidiomycota; Agaricomycetes; Russulales; Russulaceae
Source: the annotation of a GenBank genome assembly
GGCCCGGUAGCUCAGUGGUUAGAGUACUUGGCAAAUAUUUGGGGGAAUGGGGCGGGCCUGGGUUCAAAUCCCGCUGUGGUCA